Molecule: long non-coding RNA, 4338 nt
Filed under: Brassica napus (rape)
Lineage: Eukaryota; Viridiplantae; Streptophyta; Magnoliopsida; Brassicales; Brassicaceae
Description: long non-coding RNA (BNAP_LNC006521)
Source: RNAcentral
UUUAAUUAAUCAAUUUUCUUUUUUCAUUCAUUUGAUUUUAGUUACUGUGUAUUUGUUAAUUUAAAGAAUGCAACCAAACAAUAUUUUUUUCUUCAGCUUGUAGGGAUGAAACUAGAUUAGACAACUUUAACAUGAUGAAAUCUAAUUUAAUGUAUUUGUGUCACUGACGUGUUAUAAUUCAUAUUCAUCUGCCAAUAUACUUAUGUGAGUUGUAGACGACGAAAAGUAAGAUUAUACGCAUUCAACUUAAUAAGAACAUGAAUCCAAUAAAAUAGAAGUUUAUAUGUUUAUCUCCUUUUCAAAUUAGAUAAAUAAUGUAGGACGAAGUAAAGAUCGAAGCAAGAGUGAUAGGCAGGAAAGACGAUCUAACGUCCGCAGUGAUUGAGAUUCGAAGAGAAUGUGAUGAAGAACUCAUAGCCACAGGGAGGCUGUGGAUGGUACAACGACGUAGCCUCAAUGUCAAACAUAAUGGUGUUGAUCUACCUAGCAAGCUCUAAUGGCUCUAGUGUGUUUGAUAAGAAUAAUUCCAAUCCAUGGACUGUUCUCUUGAUUACUAUUGUAUGUAAUGUCGUAGAAAUAUUUGUUUCCAUCUUGUAAUUUUAUUUCUUCAGAUAUAUAAUUGCUGUCACGAGAGUAAACGUCGAUUCUUCACGUCCGGGGUCAAGGUUACGUAUGUUGUUUUUCAUGGAAAAAAAAAGCGCUAACCCACCGACCUUGAGGUUAACAGCCACACGCUCGAACCAGCUGAGCUACUGAAGCUUGUUGUUAGUACUUAAUAGUAAAUAUAUAUAUGUAUAUAACUUUUAAAUAAAACUCUUUUGACUUGACUCCUUAAACCCUAUUGACGAAAGACAGAAGAUAUUUCUGAAUGUUUCUUCAGAGAUGAUAUAUCAAACCUACACUUUCUCGUCUAAAAAGUCAUCUCCUCUCCUUUGUUGGGAAUAUCUUGAAAUCUAUUGUACUUACUCUCUGAUUAAAGUUGUAAAGUUCAUAUUCGGCCGUUAUAUAAUAUUAGGUGGUUAUAAUAUUCGAUCAUCACACACCUAAACAAAUUGGAUCAAAUUAUUAUUAAGUUUAAUUUGGAUUAAACUAUUAUUAGAGUUUUGAUGAUCUUCUAUUUAUAAGAUAAAUAGAAAUAAUAAAUAUGUAUUGUGUAUUCUACCUAAAUCUAAAUUGGAUUUGGAUCUUACUAAGCUAAUUACGUUGACGUAAUGACCACGUGAUGUAAUUAGGUUAACUCGACACAUAUAUAUACAUGUUUAUUAUUAUGUUAAAGAUCAUCUAUUGGCCGCUUAAAUCAAAACCCUAAAAACUAAGAGAUAAAAAGGUUUGUGUGAGAUUUGAUCUCGUCGGCACUAGCAUCCCGUUCUGAUCCAGUUUGUGUGCGUGUGGAUAUUAGUAGAGACACGGAGUUUGGAGUGUUUUUAGUUUAUUCAUCUUUCCGUUGCGAAUAACCAGGUAUAUUCAAAAUCAUAAAUUCUAGAUUUAUUUUAAUAUUGACAUGAGAUUCUAGGCAUAUGAAUUUAUAGGUUGAUUUAUAAAUCGUUAUAAACCGGUAUGAAAUCCAACAGUGGUAUCAGAACUUGCUUGCAUAAUACAGAAAAUAAAUUGAGAUAGCUUCAAUGUGUUUAUAGAGAUAUACACGUUCGUUGUUCUUUUGUUUAUGAAGAAAAGAAAUUAUGUUUGUUCUGAUAUCUAGCUAAUUCAAUUAAUCAGUUGCAAGUGAUUUAAGAAUAUCUAGAUAUACGCGUUCUCAUGUACGUUUACACAUUGUUUAUGCAUACAUAUAAUUUAAAGAAAGCACUCCUGUAAUACUUGUUAACUUGAUUUUAGAUAAAGUAAUAUGUAUCAUGGAAUCAUGUGAUUGUGUGAUCGUCACCGAGAAUUGGUUUCUGAAACCGAUUAUUCAAACAACAUGCACACGUCAAAGAAAUUGUUUCUGUAUAAUUAAUUUCAAAAGUCAACGUGUGUUAUUGUAACCUAGUUGUUCAGAUUCUGUGUAACCUUUUAAACCGGUUAAACCAGUUCUCUGGUUUAUUUGGUUAGCUUGAUCGAUUUGAUUCGAUCGUUUUUGUCUCUAUGUUUUAGAAUUCUAAUUUGAUUAGAUUCUAAAAUUAAUAUAAUUACUAGAUCUCGAUCCGCGUAACCGCGCGAGAUUUUAUUUUUAUUUAUUUUUAUACAAAUAUUUUAUUUUCAAUUCUAAAUUGGUAUAUAUUAUAAUAUAUAUGUGUUUAUCAUUUUUUAAAACAUAAUAAUUUUACUUUAUAUUUUUUCCAUUGAAUAUAUUGUUUCAAACUUUCACAUGUAUUUGUAUCUUCUUCUUUUAUAUAUAUAUUUUUGGAUUAUUAUUUCAUUAUUAAAAUCAUAACUAUACAUAUAAAGAUUAGUAAAAUAUUGUUUUACUUUCAUAUUCAAAAAUAUUGUAACAUUUCACAAAUUUAGAAAGUUUUUUAAAAAUUAAACUUUUCGCUUCAUAUAUUUAUAUUAUCGAGAAAAUAAUUAAACAUUUAAUUUUUGUUUAAUAUUUAAAAUAAACUAUAUAGUUUAAAUUUUUCUUUUCAUUGGUUUAAGGUAGUAAAGAUUAAUCAUUGUUAGAUAAUAUGAUUUUUGUGGUGUUAUAAAAAAAAGAUAAUAUGAUUUUUGUUAUUUAAAAUAAAAUCUUUAUAAUUUUAAAAGUUAACAUCGACAAAAUAUUUAAAUAUUUAGCAUAUAGAGGUAUAGUAUUACAAUAUUAAAUUAUAUCUAUUUAAUUUAUAUUAUCUAUAAAUCCAAUGGAACAUCUAUUGUUUAAAUCAAAUUAUUGAUAGCCCAAUAAAAAUUUUUGGUAGGCCCAAAAUUUAAAUGAUAAGAUUAAAUAUUAAAUGUAACAUGACUUUUUAUGAAUAAGUUUAUUAGGUCCAUUUUUUUAAAAAAUCACACAUAAAUCAAGGUUGUGACUUCUGUUUUUAUAUAUAAGAUUCAUAAUCCAAUUAAAGUACAUAUAAGAUAUGUAUUAGUUAUAUUUAUAUUUUAUAUUAGAUAUAAAUUUUAAAUAUAAAAGUAAAUUGGAAUAAAAUUUAUUCCUCAAUUAAUUUUAAGUAUUUUUGAUGUCUACCCAUUCUUAUCAACUAUCAAGGCUCGUUUCGUUGUAAGAUGGGCUUGCCAAAGCAAGGUGUCUGCCAUUACAUGAGUGAGGUAGAUGAUAACGGUUACCAUAUGAAUAUAAGAUUGGUUUAUUUGACUAAGCUAUCAAAACGGUUUUGGCCUUAGAGACAUAGGUUGGAUAAGACAUAAGAUGUCAUCUGACAACCAAGAAUUAUAUUGGAUAUAGUUAGCAAAGUGUUGCUUACCUAAAUAGCUAAACAUUCGGGCGAUGAGCCAAAUCUCACUCGAAUUUUAGUAAAAUAUGGAUCUUGAAUUAUUACAUUCAUUUGAGAAAAUUAUUUAAAUAUUCUUAAUUGUUGAGAUUUCUCCAAUUCAUGAACAUCAUAUUAAUAUUUGAUAUUCUUCUAUUUCAACAAUGUUAACUCCUCACAACCCAUUUUCAUUGCAAUAUGCCCUUGAGAAGGACAAAUUGAAUGGAUCAAAUUUCCUCCAAUGGUGUCGAAACCCGAGAAUUAUUCUCAAACAAGAGUUUAUACCCUACUUGGAAGAUCUAAAAAAGAAAAAGACUUUUGAAAUAUCGUCUAGUGGUAUUUAUAUUAUGGAAGUAAAUGUUACUACUUCUAGUUCUACUUCUUGGGUAUUUGAUACCGGCUAUGGUGCUCAUUGUUGGGGUCAAAAUCGGUCACGACGGAAUCAAUGUCUAAAAGUCCGUAAAAAUCAGCAUUAACAUUUUUACGAAAAAGUAAUCUUCGUAAAAAUAUCUUUACAAAGAGCCUUGCGGUAAAAUCUUGUUCAAAUCUCAAUCGAACCACUAAAUACCGAUUGUCCGAAGGAAACAGACAUGUAUCCAAUUCGGCCACGGACAAGCUCGAGUACGACAAUCGGACCACGGACUACCUAGCAAGCUCUAAUGGCUCUAGUGUGUUUGAUAAGAAUAAUUCCAAUCCAUGGACUGUUCUCUUGAUUACUAUUGUAUGUAAUGUCGUAGAAAUAUUUGUUUCCAUCUUGUAAUUUUAUUUCUUCAGAUAUAUAAUUGCUGUCACGAGAGUAAACGUCGAUUCUUCACGUCCGGGGUCAAGGUUACGUAUGUUGUUUUUCAUGGAAAAAAAAAGCGCUAACCCACCGACCUUGAGGUUAACAGCCACACGCUCGAACCAGCUGAGCUACUGAAGCUUGUUGUUAGUACUUAAUAGUAAAUAUAUAUAUGUAUAUAACUUUUAAAUAAAACUCUUUUGACUUGACUCCUUAAACCCU